RNAcentral lists this ribosomal RNA (406 nucleotides) under uncultured bacterium. RNAcentral describes it as "partial 16S ribosomal RNA". It matches the Rfam family "Bacterial small subunit ribosomal RNA", at positions 30 to 526 of the family's 1533-position model. The record is from RNAcentral.
AUUGAACGCUGGCGGCAGGCCUAACACAUGCAAGUCGCACGAGUGGCGGCCGGGUGAGUAAUGUCUGGGAAACUGCCUGCUGGAGGGGGAUCACUCCUGGAAACGGUCGCUAAUACCGCAUACCAUCAGAUGUGCCCAGAUGGGAUUCGCUAGUUGUUGGGGUAACGGCUCACCAAGGCGACCAUCCCUCGCUGGUCUGAGAGGAUGACCAGACACACUGGAACUCAGAAAAGGUCCAGACUCAGACGGGAGGCAGCAGUGGGGAAUAGUGCACAAUGGGCGAAAGCCUGAUGCAGACAUGCCGCGUGUAUGAAGAAGGCCUUCGGGUUGUAAAGUACUUUCAGCGGGGAGGCGUUACCCGCAGAAGAAGCACCGGCGAACUCCGUGCCAGCGGCCGCGGUAAUUC